RNAcentral lists this ribosomal RNA (506 nucleotides) under uncultured bacterium. RNAcentral describes it as "partial 16S ribosomal RNA". It matches the Rfam family "Bacterial small subunit ribosomal RNA", at positions 29 to 523 of the family's 1533-position model. The record is from RNAcentral.
AGUGAACGCUGGCGGUAGGCCUAACACAUGCAAGUCGAACGGCAGCACAGGAGAGCUUGCUCUCUGGGUGGCGAGUGGCGGACGGGUGAGGAAUACAUCGGAAUCUACUCUGUCGUGGGGGAUAACGUAGGGAAACUUACGCUAAUACCGCAUACGACCUACGGGUGAAAGCAGGGGACCUUCGGGCCUUGCGCGAUUGAAUGAGCCGAUGUCGGAUUAGCUAGUUGGCGGGGUAAAGGCCCACCAAGGCGACGAUCCGUAGCUGGUCUGAGAGGAAGAUCAGCCAGCCUGGAACUGAGACGCGGUCCAGACUCCUACGGGAGGCAGCAGUGGGGAAUAUUGGACAAUGGGCGAAAGCCUGAUCCAGCCAUACCGCGUGGGUGAAGAAGGCCUUCGGGUUGUAAAGCCCUUUUGUUGGGAAAGAAAUCCAGCUGGCUAAUACCCGGUUGGGAUGACGGUACCCAAAGAAUAAGCACCGGCUAACUUCGUGCCAGCAGCCGCCGUAA